This is a long non-coding RNA of Anolis carolinensis (green anole), 4982 nucleotides long. RefSeq lists it as uncharacterized. The record is from RefSeq and is a predicted model, not a curated record. Lineage: Eukaryota; Metazoa; Chordata; Lepidosauria; Squamata; Anolidae. The transcript is spliced from 3 exons.
ACUCCACUCUGACGGAGGUGUUCAGGAGCAGUCCAGAGAUCUGGGGGGAAAGACGGAAGGGAGGCAUUGGAAGGAGGAAGAAGAAAAGGGCAAAUAAUAUUAGUUGACAGCUGUUACCUUUAUUCAAAGAUUCAUCUGAUCCCAUAUUGGUCCGAUCUGGAGUCUUUCCAGAUGGAGGCUCCUCGUGUUACCAAUGAGAAGGAAUUGUGCAAUCAUUCUUUUUCUCUAAAAAAUCCUCUCUUAUUUUUUCAUUGUUUCUUUAGUCUUUUUUUCUAGUAAGGAAAAGACUGAAGAAACAAUGGAAAAAUAAAAAAGGAUUUUCAUGUGGCUGAAGCCUCAUAAAAUUGAGUGAACAAGGCAGUCAUAAAGUGUUACUUUUUCAGUGCUGCUUCAUGGUUUAUUUCAGACCUUUCUUUGCCUAAUUACUAGUAAAAUGAUUUGUUACACUGGACUGAGUGGAAAGAACAUGAGGAAAAAAUAUCUGUAAUAAAAUGUAAUUAGUAUUUAUAUUGCAAUAUUUCUGAUUUUGUUUUUUAAAAAUUUCUUAGACUUAUUGUUAUGGUUGAGCCUUCGGGCUCCGGUAAUAGAAGAAGGGGUCAUAAGACUCCUCGAGAGUCAGACUCUUUCGAGGAGCGUGAAAGAAAACGGCUCCGGGAUUUGUUUACAGACCCGACAGAUGAGGACUCAUUUGAGGGUUUUUCUGAGGGUUUGGAGGAAGAGAUGGCCAGCUCGGAGGAGGACGACAUGGAAUGGACUCGUGUGAGGGAGGAUUUGGGUGUUGGGGAAACAGGCAAUGAAAGCAUGGGAGGUGAUUGGCGGGUUGCAGGAUCAGACCCAUGGACUGGCUGGAGGGAUGGAGCGGGAUCCACAGCUGGGGAUGCUGUGGGGCGUAGUCAAAGGUGCUUAAGCUCUGAUGAGGAUGAUGAUGUUGGGGCAUCUGGAAUUGGGAUGGCAGCUGACAGCGAUGAUGAGCUUGAACUGGGAUAAAUUGGGGUUUGGGACCAAUGUCUAAUUGCGUUGGGCAAGGUAAUCUGGACGGACACUUGGGCUUUUGUUGGGGAACUUCCUGAAGAUGGGUGUGAUUCGUUACUGGAUACGUAAGUUUACCAAGGACACUGGGCAUCGACGGCGGGAGGAACUGUGCGGGGUUUUUCUCUGUGCAACUUGUGUUUAAUCUCGAUAGCUUGGACCUCCGUCGUCUUUUUGACGGGCAAUAACUACUCGCACUGGAUUGACGCUGGACUGACUGACUUCGAUUCCGGAUUAUCCCUUCUGCUGGCUAUCGGUGAGACCUUUGGAUUUCUAGACGACUACGCUUGGCUAUUGACCUCUGGACUGGAUUGGGACCCUGCUGACUGCCGUUACCCUGACUGCUGUGCCUGGACCUGGAUAUCGUUGGCCGCUGAACCUUAAACUGAAUCCUGACUACGACCACGCUUUUCGUUCGCUGCAGGAAGGAAUAAACAAGCCUGGUUUAUUCUCCUGCUGUUUCCGAGUAGCAGAGAGGAAUCUGCUACCAGUCUGUUGUUUACAUUCUGACUCCUGUUGAUCCUCUUUUGUUUGCAUUGUUUGCCAGGCUGAAGUAAGCACUUUUGAUUUAAUCCGGAUUAUACUUCUGUUUAACCCGGUUUAUCCCUUUGAACCGUUUAAGCUCAAACUGAGCUGUUUUUUUGUUACUUAUCACACUGAAGUCAAGUGUUUGCCCUGUUCUUUGUUUCCUAUGGGCGUUUUUAGUUCUGUAACCUCAAUAAACUGAGUUUUGUUUUACUCGCUGGCGUUCUGUCUGUGACACUUAUAGUGCUAUAGUGGAAAAGUGCCAUCGCACUCAUGCAUUCUAACUAAAAAAUUGAAAGAGAGAAAAAAGAAAAGAGAAAGAUUUUUUCCUGUUAUAUCUCACAAUUUAAAAGAAACCCAACUGGAGGUAGGAAUAAAUCUUGCAACUGGUACAGGGAAUUAUAGUAAAAGACUCAUUUGUAUUUCUUGUGUACCUUUUUUUGGUGGCAGAAUAGAAUUGCAGCCAAAAUCAGUGAUCUUCACUACCAUGCGGCUAUCGACAACACAGUUUGUAGAUUUCAGGCGCCCAUGAACCUCGGUUUUGCUUGAAUGCAGGCUUAGUCAGCAGGAAGAUAGAAACAAAUUGUGUUCCAUACUGCUAUGAUCAACCAACUUGAACAAGGUCCAAAAGAAGAUUACUGGUGCUUUUGUUCUCAACAGCCAGUCAUACCAAAGUGAGGCAGCAACCUCAAGCAGCAAAUUUAAGAAAAUGUGAAGGAGAUGGAAAGAACAUGAACAUUAUGGAAAAAGAAGGCCAGUCUCAUUCAUUCAUUAAUAUUCCACUUUUCCCUAAAAGCAGCAUCUCAGAACACCAAUUUGAAACACCAUAUUAAUGAAAGCAUUGAAACAUUUCAAGUCCAGCAACCCCAUUUGGGCCCAUUUUAGUUGUUGAAGACCUACCUGAAUAAAAAGGUCAUAACCUAACAGGAAAAGCAUCAUUUGUUUUGAAAGCUUUUGACCUAUGUUUUGUAUUGGCAAUUAUCAAUGCUCUCAAUCUACCUUUGCACCCAAGGGCCAAUCUUAUUCUCCCCCUCCCACCCCCAAUAAUUUCCCGACAACAAAGUGAUCCUUGUCAAAACACUCUGACAAGGAUCUUAGUAGGAAGUCAGGACAUUGGGUCACCAAUAAAUAAAUCAGUUAGCAAGCAAAUGUAUUUGGCAAGCUGCAAUACGCUUUUCUGCCCAGUACCUUAGGCUGAGUGACAGAAGGCUAAAUAGCUUCAAGCACACUUUAAAUAAAAAUACAAGUUCAUGGUCUAGAAUUCAGAGAUGCAGUGGAAAUAUUAAUUCCUGAGAUUAUGCUGCCCCCUAAUGGCUCAAAAUUUUAUACUACAAAAAAGACUACAUGGGCCAACCAAAAAAAUGUCUUGAUGUCUCAGUUUUUAGGCCUUUUCUUGGAGAUAUUUGGGGCAAUGAUUUAGAGAAUUGUAUUGGAUGGAUUGCAUCAGCUUUAGUUUCCUGUCAUGGUUUUCUAUAAGUUAACAGAUGGCUACUGGAGGAUGGCAUAUGUUCUGUAUCUCAAAAACUAGAGCUAAUAGGGGGAAACUGGUGCAAGUUUUGGAACGAACUGGUCAAAUAAAGCUACAAAGCUAACAUUUGAGGUACAAAAAUGUGCUAUCAUUCCCACCCAAAACCUCUUUAUUUACUGUUAUUGUGCAAAAAGUAAUAGUAGUCUUUAUAAUGACAUUACAUUUCUGAAUUUCAGAUUAAAUCAACAAAAAUAAACUGAGAAACAGAAGCAGUCUAAUCUUUACAAUGCAGUUCAGAUUUUCUUUGUUAGUGUUUUCUUUAAUGUUCUGUUUACAGUUCAUUUUAAUUGAAAGCCUAGUCCAAGAAGAAAUGCAACCAAAAAUUGAACAACCUUCUAGAUAAGAUAUUUUAUUAUGCAGUGUAAUUUGUAUAUAGAUAGAAAUCUGUCUAGAUAAAUUAAGGAGUCACACUUUUGUAAUUCAUUUAAAAGGGAGUUGAGUAAUCAUAUCACCAGACUAAAAUUACCACAUUGAAGGUCUGAUGCUUUGCAUACCAGCUAUUGGCUCCAGGACAAAAGUAGAAGAUUUCUGCUGAUGCAGCUAUUAACAUUAGCAGCCUAGUAUCUCAACUGCCCAAUAGCACUGGAUGCUCAUUUUUUGGGAUUAGGUGAGUGGAAAGGUUCUGAUCUAGUUCCAGAAUGGAGUUAUGCAGAACAAGAAAAAGUAUAGAUUUAAUUCUCUCUUGCUGUAAUAUAUAGGGAAACGUGGGAAGAUUUUGGUCAAAUAAUGUGUGCCUUAUAAUACUUCCAGAUUUGUAGUGGGCAUUGGCUCCUUAUUCCAGGUUCCUCAUUCCACUUUCAUUCCAGUGAAAGACUUAUAGAAUCAUAGCAUUAGACAAACCACAAGCACCAUCCAAUCCAACCCCCUUCACUCAUUUGAUUAAGUUCCUCUCCCCAUAUAUGCUUACCAAAGAUCAAGGUUUUCAGGGACAGGAGCUUCUCUUUGUCUCACCACGGAGGUCCAUAUACUAUGUCAGGCCAUGGAAAAGGAUAUUCUCAUCCAUAGCAUCCCAAAUGUGGAAUGCCCUCCCUGGGAGGCCCAACAGGCACCAAAAUUGGCUUCAUUUAGGUGCCAAGCAAAAACAUGCCUCAAGCAUCAGUGGUUUGUUUACAAUGUUACAUGUAGGAUUGGUAGGCCAGUUUUAAUUUUUGAAUGUGUUUCAGUGUCUUUAAUUUUUUAUUGUUUUAAAUAGUUAUAACCUAUUAGUAUUUAUUUUACUUGUAUGAUACCCUGAGAACUUCUUCUAUAGAACAUGAAAUAAAUAUUUUAAUUAAUGAAUAAAUAAUGGAACAGUGUAAAAUAAAUUUUCCUCUGAUAUUAAAAAUGUACUCUCUUAGAUUCUUUUAGCAAAACUAUUUCAGAGUAGGGAGGUGAAUGUGUGUUACUUGCCACAGGUACUAUAACUGACCAAAGAAUUGCCAUACGAUCAAGGAUAAUAUUUGGAGAGAUCUGACCUUCCCAAAACAUCUCUCAAGUACAACUGUUGUUGCUCCAUAUAGGCAACCAAAGAGUGUUUCCAUAGCAACUCAUUUCCUAAGCACUCUAUGGUUCCUGCUCAGUCUGGGAGAAUAAAAAAGGGAUUGGUGAAAGUGGGGAAAUUAUUACAUUGUGCAAAGAAGAUAAGGCAUCUGCACAAGAGUUUUUGAUAACAGGUGAUGAAGGGUAUUAGGAGUAUUCUAAAUCAAGGAAAUUCAAGAUCAGCGUAUUUAGUUAGGUGCUGUACUGUUUGAGCCCUUCUGAUUUGCCCUACAGUGUGCCUCAAACAAAAUUCCUCCCCCAGGAAAGUUCAUUGAACUGUAUAAAAUGCCAAACCAUUUUGGAAUUGGGCUAGACAUUCAAAGAAAAAAAUGCAGGUUUGUUUCAGAUUAGCCACUAGAUUAGCCACUAGAUCAAAUCUUCA